RNAcentral lists this unclassified non-coding RNA (324 nucleotides) under soil metagenome. Its description in RNAcentral is "partial contains 5.8S ribosomal RNA, internal transcribed spacer 2, and large subunit ribosomal RNA". The stretch from base 1 to 120 matches the Rfam family "5.8S ribosomal RNA", at positions 35 to 154 of the family's 154-position model. The record is from RNAcentral.
GAUGAAGAACGCAGCGAAAUGCGAUAAGUAGUGUGAAUUGCAGUAUUCAGUGAAUCAUCGAAUCUUUGAACGCACAUUGCGCCCCUUGGUAUUCCAUGGGGCAUGCCUGUUCGAGCGUCAUUUGUACCUUCAAGCUUUGCUUGGUGUUGGGUGUUUGUCCCGAGGGACUCGCCUUAAAGUAAUUGGCAGCCAGUGUUUGGUUUUGAAGCGCAGCACAAGUCGCGAUUCAAGGCUACACGCCCGCUUCCACAAGCCUUUUUUCACUUUUGACCUCGGAUCAGGUAGGGAUACCCGCUGAACUUAAGCAUAUCAAUAAGCGGAGGA